Long non-coding RNA from Cotesia glomerata, 461 nucleotides. RefSeq lists it as uncharacterized. The transcript is spliced from 3 exons. The record is from RefSeq and is a predicted model, not a curated record. Lineage: Eukaryota; Metazoa; Arthropoda; Insecta; Hymenoptera; Braconidae.
UUGGUGUGAAUCGAUAAGUCGAAUAAUCGACUUUAAAUUUCGAUACUGUAUAUACUGCUGUGUUCAACACAAAGGAUUUAACUAAGUACAGGUACUAUUACGGUAUUCAGCUAAGAAAAACUAUCCAAGCAUCUUUUUGGAAAAUAAUUUAAAGUUUUCUUUAAAUAAAAAAGGAUAUAAGAAUAUAAAAAAUCUUGGUAUUUAUUUAUCAUAAUUACUGAUAAAAUACCAUUUAUUUGUACGUUAAUGUCGGAUUCUAUACGAGAGAGUUUAGACGACAGUGGAUUGAACAAUCAGGUCCCACAAUUUCUGAAGUUUUCACUAACUAUCCUCGUCUCUUGGAUUUUAAUGGAGAAAUGAUUGAACGAGAAUUUGAUUCUCUAUACCCGGAUUCAGGAGAUAAUUUUUUGGAAAAAUUUCCCACGUUCUAUGCCCCCCGUAUUCUUCGUUAUGUCCAAGAA